UACAGAGGGUGCAAACGUUGCUCGGAAUUAUUGGGCGUAAAGCGCACGUAGGCGGUCUUUUAAGUCGGAUGUGAAAGCCCCAAGCUCAACUUGGGAAGUGCAUACGAAACUGGAAGACUUGAGUAUGGAAGAGGGUCGCGGAAUUCCCGGUGUAGAGGUGAAAUUCGUAGAUAUCGGGAGGAACACCAGUGGCGAAGGCGGCGACCUGGGCCAAUACUGACGCUGAGGUGCGAAAGCGUGGGGAGCAAACAGG
Molecule: ribosomal RNA, 253 nt
Filed under: uncultured bacterium
Lineage: Bacteria
Description: partial 16S ribosomal RNA
Rfam family: Bacterial small subunit ribosomal RNA
Source: RNAcentral